RNAcentral lists this ribosomal RNA (1372 nucleotides) under uncultured bacterium. RNAcentral describes it as "bacterial SSU rRNA". It matches the Rfam family "Bacterial small subunit ribosomal RNA", at positions 28 to 1381 of the family's 1533-position model. The record is from RNAcentral.
GAUGAACGCUGGCGGCGUGCCUAAUACAUGCAAGUCGAGCGAACGGACGAGAAGCUUGCUUCUCUGAUGUUAGCGGCGGACGGGUGAGUAACACGUGGAUAACCUACCUAUAAGACUGGGAUAACUUCGGGAAACCGGAGCUAAUACCGGAUAAUAUUUUGAACCGCAUGGUUCAAAAGUGAAAGACGGUCUUGCUGUCACUUAUAGAUGGAUCCGCGCUGCAUUAGCUAGUUGGUAAGGUAACGGCUUACCAAGGCAACGAUGCAUAGCCGACCUGAGAGGGUGAUCGGCCACACUGGAACUGAGACACGGUCCAGACUCCUACGGGAGGCAGCAGUAGGGAAUCUUCCGCAAUGGGCGAAAGCCUGACGGAGCAACGCCGCGUGAGUGAUGAAGGUCUUCGGAUCGUAAAACUCUGUUAUUAGGGAAGAACAUAUGUGUAAGUAACUGUGCACAUCUUGACGGUACCUAAUCAGAAAGCCACGGCUAACUACGUGCCAGCAGCCGCGGUAAUACGUAGGUGGCAAGCGUUAUCCGGAAUUAUUGGGCGUAAAGCGCGCGUAGGCGGUUUUUUAAGUCUGAUGUGAAAGCCCACGGCUCAACCGUGGAGGGUCAUUGGAAACUGGAAAACUUGAGUGCAGAAGAGGAAAGUGGAAUUCCAUGUGUAGCGGUGAAAUGCGCAGAGAUAUGGAGGAACACCAGUGGCGAAGGCGACUUUCUGGUCUGUAACUGACGCUGAUGUGCGAAAGCGUGGGGAUCAAACAGGAUUAGAUACCCUGGUAGUCCACGCCGUAAACGAUGAGUGCUAAGUGUUAGGGGGUUUCCGCCCCUUAGUGCUGCAGCUAACGCAUUAAGCACUCCGCCUGGGGAGUACGACCGCAAGGUUGAAACUCAAAGGAAUUGACGGGGACCCGCACAAGCGGUGGAGCAUGUGGUUUAAUUCGGAGCAACGCGAAGAACCUUACCAAAUCUUGACAUCCUUUGACAACUCUAGAGAUAGAGCCUUCCCCUUCGGGGGACAAAGUGACAGGUGGUGCAUGGUUGUCGUCAGCUCGUGUCGUGAGAUGUUGGGUUAAGUCCCGCAACGAGCGCAACCCUUAAGCUUAGUUGCCAUCAUUAAGUUGGGCACUCUAAGUUGACUGCCGGUGACAAACCGGAGGAAGGUGGGGAUGACGUCAAAUCAUCAUGCCCCUUAUGAUUUGGGCUACACACGUGCUACAAUGGACAAUACAAAGGGCAGCGAAACCGCGAGGUCAAGCAAAUCCCAUAAAGUUGUUCUCAGUUCGGAUUGUAGUCUGCAACUCGACUACAUGAAGCUGGAAUCGCUAGUAAUCGUAGAUCAGCAUGCUACGGUGAAUACGUUCCCGGGUCU